This 481-nucleotide ribosomal RNA is filed under the name uncultured bacterium. Its description in RNAcentral is "partial 16S ribosomal RNA". It matches the Rfam family "Bacterial small subunit ribosomal RNA", at positions 899 to 1397 of the family's 1533-position model. The record is from RNAcentral.
ACUCAAAGGAAUUGACGGGGACCCGCACAAGCAGCGGAGCGUGUGGUUUAAUUCGACGCAACGCGAAGAACCUUACCAAGGCUUGACAUGCAGUGUUCAAGGGUGGAAACAUUCUGUCCGCAAGGAGAACUGCACAGAUGCUGCAUGGCUGUCGUCAGCUCGUGUCGUGAGAUGUUGGGUUAAGUCCCGCAACGAGCGCAACCCUCGGGGUUAGUUAGAUAAUCUAGCCCGACUGCCGGUAGAAAACCGGAGGAAGGUGGGGAUGAUGUCAAGUCAGCAUGGCUCUUACGUCUUGGGCUACACACACGCUACAAUGGCUGGUACAGAGAGAAGCAAAGCCGCGAGGUGGAGCAAAUCCCAUAAAGCCAGUCUCAGUUCGGAUAGCAGGCUGCAACUCGCCUGCUUGAAGUCGGAGUUGCUAGUAACCGCAAGUCAGCACAUUGCGGUGAAUAUGUUCCCGGGUCUUGUACACACCGCCCGU